RNAcentral lists this ribosomal RNA (486 nucleotides) under uncultured bacterium. Its description in RNAcentral is "bacterial SSU rRNA". It matches the Rfam family "Bacterial small subunit ribosomal RNA", at positions 30 to 507 of the family's 1533-position model. The record is from RNAcentral.
AUUGAACGCUGGCGGCAUGCCUUACACAUGCAAGUCGAACGGCAGCAUGGGUGCUUGCACCUGAUGGCGAGUGGCGAACGGGUGAGUAAUACAUCGGAACGUACCCGGAAGUGGGGGAUAACGUAGCGAAAGUUACGCUAAUACCGCAUAUUCUGUGAGCAGGAAAGAGGGGGAUCGCAAGACCUCUCGCUUUCGGAGCGGCCGAUGUCAGAUUAGCUAGUUGGUAGGGUAAAAGCCUACCAAGGCGACGAUCUGUAGCGGGUCUGAGAGGAUGAUCCGCCACACUGGGACUGAGACACGGCCCAGACUCCUACGGGAGGCAGCAGUGGGGAAUUUUGGACAAUGGGGGCAACCCUGAUCCAGCCAUGCCGCGUGAGUGAAGAAGGCCUUCGGGUUGUAAAGCUCUUUCGGCCGGGAAGAAAUCGCACAGGUUAAUACCUUGUGUGGAUGACGGUACCGGAAUAAGAAGCACCGGCUAACUACGUG